Molecule: ribosomal RNA, 500 nt
Filed under: uncultured bacterium
Lineage: Bacteria
Description: partial 16S ribosomal RNA
Rfam family: Bacterial small subunit ribosomal RNA
Source: RNAcentral
AUUGAACGCUGGCGGAAUGCUUUACACAUGCAAGUCGAACGGCAGCCCGGACUUCGGUCUGGUGGCGAGUGGCGAACGGGUGAGUAAUGUAUCGGAACGUGCCCAGUCGUGGGGGAUAACGUAGUGAAAAUUACGCUAAUACCGCAUACGAUCUAUGGAUGAAAGCGGGGGAUCGCAAGACCUCGCGCGAUUGGAGCGGCCGAUAUCAGAUUAGGUAGUUGGUGGGGUAAGGGCCCACCAAGCCAACGAUCUGUAGCUGGUCUGAGAGGACGACCAGCCACACGGGAACUGGGACACGGUCCAGACUCCUACGGGAGGCAGCAGUGGGGAAUUUUGGACAAUGGGCGAAAGCCUGAUCCAGCCAUUCCGCGUGCAGGAUGAAGGCCCUCGGGUUGUAAACUGCUUUUGUACAGAACGAAAAGGUUUCUACUAAUACUAGGAGCUCAUGACGGUACUGUAAGAAUAAGCACCGGCUAACUACGUGCCAGCCGCCGCCGUAA